Molecule: ribosomal RNA, 511 nt
Filed under: uncultured bacterium
Lineage: Bacteria
Description: bacterial SSU rRNA
Rfam family: Bacterial small subunit ribosomal RNA
Source: RNAcentral
GAUCCUGGCUUAGGAUGAACGCUAGCGACAGGCUUAACACAUGCAAGUCGAGGGGCAGCAUAGAAGUAGCAAUACUUGGUGGCGACCGGCGCACGGGUGAGUAACGCGUAUGCAACCUACCUAUCAGAGGGGAAUAACCCGGCGAAAGUCGGACUAAUACCGCAUAAAACAGGGGCACCGCAUGGUGAUAUUUGUUAAAGAAAUUCGCUGAUAGAUGGGCAUGCGUUCCAUUAGGUAGUUGGUGAGGUAACGGCUCACCAAGCCGACGAUGGAUAGGGGAACUGAGAGGUUGGUCCCCCACACUGGUACUGAGACACGGACCAGACUCCUACGGGAGGCAGCAGUGAGGAAUAUUGGUCAAUGGGCGGGAGCCUGAACCAGCCAAGUCGCGUGAAAGGAAGAAGGAUCUAUGGUUCGUAAACUUCUUUUGCAGGGGAAUAAAGUGCAGGACGUGUCCUGUUUUGUAUGUACCCUGAGAAUAAGGAUCGGCUAACUCCGUGCCAGCAGCAGC